CCUACGGGAGGCAGCAGUGAGGAAUAUUGGUCAAUGGGCGGGAGCCUGAACCAGCCAAGUCGCGUGAGGGAAGACGGUCCUAUGGAUUGUAAACCUCUUUAGGCGGGGAGCAAUGCCAGGCUCGUGUGCCCGGAGGGAGAGUCCCCGCAGAAUAAGCAUCGGCUAACUCCGUGCCAGCAGCCGCGGUAAUACUGAGGAUGCGAGCGUUAUCCGGAUUUUUUGGGUUUAAAGGGUGCGUAGGCGGAUUUUUAAGUCAGCGGUAAAAUGUCCGGGCUCAACCCGGGCCGGCCGUUGAAACUGGGGAUCUUGAGUUGGCGAGAGGUAUGCGGAAUGCGUGGUGUAGCGGUGAAAUGCUUAGAUAUUACGCAGAACUCCGAUUGCGAAGGCAGCAUACCGGCGCCCGACUGACGCUGAGGCACGAAAGCGUGGGUAUCGAACAGGAUUAGAUACCCCUGUAGUC
This 460-nucleotide ribosomal RNA is filed under the name uncultured bacterium. Its description in RNAcentral is "partial 16S ribosomal RNA". It matches the Rfam family "Bacterial small subunit ribosomal RNA", at positions 338 to 795 of the family's 1533-position model. The record is from RNAcentral.